This 423-nucleotide ribosomal RNA is filed under the name uncultured bacterium. Its description in RNAcentral is "partial 16S ribosomal RNA". It matches the Rfam family "Bacterial small subunit ribosomal RNA", at positions 359 to 774 of the family's 1533-position model. The record is from RNAcentral.
GAAUUUUGGACAAGGGGCGAAAGCCUGAUCCAGCAAUGCCGCGUGCAGGAUGAAGGCCUUCGGGUUGUAAACUGCUCUUGUACGGAACGAAAAGCUUUGGGGUAAUACCCUGGAGUCAUGACGGUACCGUAAGAAUAAGCACCGGUCACCUACGUGACACCAGCCACGGUAAUACGUAGGGUACAAGCGUUAAUCGGAAUUACGGGGCGUAAAGCGUGCGCAGGCGGUUUUGUAAGACAGAGGUAAAAUCCCCGGGCUCAACCUGGGAACUGCCUUUGUGACUGCAAGGCUAGAGUACGGCAGAGGGGGGUGGAAUUCCGCGUGCAGCAGUGAAAUGCGUAGAUAUGCGGAGGAACACCGAUGGCGAAGGCAACCCCCUGGGCCUGUACUGACGCUCAUGCACGAAAGCGUGGGGAGCAAACA